RNAcentral lists this ribosomal RNA (492 nucleotides) under uncultured bacterium. Its description in RNAcentral is "partial 16S ribosomal RNA". It matches the Rfam family "Bacterial small subunit ribosomal RNA", at positions 28 to 507 of the family's 1533-position model. The record is from RNAcentral.
GAUGAACGCUAGCUACAGGCUUAACACAUGCAAGUCGAGGGGAAACGACAUCGAAAGCUUGCUUUUGAUGGGCGUCGACCGGCGCACGGGUGAGUAACGCGUAUCCAACCUGCCCAUCACUUGGGAAUAACCUUGCGAAAGUAAGACUAAUACCCAAUGACAUCCCACGAAGACAUCUGAAUGGGAUUAAAGAUUUAUCGGUGAUGGAUGGGGAUGCGUCUGAUUAGCUUGUUGGCGGGGUAACGGCCCACCAAGGCAACGAUCAGUAGGGGUUCUGAGAGGAAGGUCCCCCACAUUGGAACUGAGACACGGUCCAAACUCCUACGGGAGGCGGCAGUGAGGAAUAUUGGUCAAUGGGCGAGAGCCUGAACCAGCCAAGUAGCGUGCAGGAUGACGGCCCUAUGGGUUGUAAACUGCUUUUAUAAGGGAAUAAAGUGGGUCUCGUGAGACUUUUUGCAUGUACCUUAUGAAUAAGGACCGGCUAAUUCCGUG